GAUGAACGCUGGCGGCGUGCCUAAUACAUGCAAGUCGAGCGAACGGACGAGAAGCUUGCUUCUCUGAUGUUAGCGGCGGACGGGUGAGUAACACGUGGAUAACCUACCUAUAAGACUGGGAUAACUUCGGGAAACCGGAGCUAAUACCGGAUGAUAUUUUGAACCGCAUGGUUCAAAAGUGAAAGACGGUCUUGCUGUCACUUAUAGAUGGAUCCGCGCUGCAUUAGCUAGUUGGUAAGGUAACGGCUUACCAAGGCAACGAUGCAUAGCCGACCUGAGAGGGUGAUCGGCCACACUGGAGCUGAGACACGGUCCAGACUCCUACGGGAGGCAGCAGUCGGGAAUCUUCCGCAAUGGGCGAAAGCCUGACGGAGCAACGCCGCGUGAGUGAUGAAGGUCUUCGGAUCGUAAAACUCUGUUAUUAGGGAAGAACAUAUGUGUAAGUAACUGUGCACAUCUUGACGGUACCUAAUCAGAAAGCCACGGCUACCUACGU
RNAcentral lists this ribosomal RNA (496 nucleotides) under uncultured bacterium. RNAcentral describes it as "partial 16S ribosomal RNA". It matches the Rfam family "Bacterial small subunit ribosomal RNA", at positions 28 to 506 of the family's 1533-position model. The record is from RNAcentral.